UUCGUUCGUACCUUCACAUCGAACUGAGCUCCGCACUCCCGUUCAGUUUGAGUCCGUACGUCAUGUGAAUCGGUUGCGAUCCGCCAGAGUCAUUGGUGCGCUCCGCGUUACUCCGACCCACACCGUGUGGUUGUUUCACUCCCCCCUCCCCCAACCCAAAAGCACACCGUCGUCUUCGGCAGAGUGCCGUGCGCCGUAGGUAUUCCGUUCCUGCGGGGGAACGUCGUAGGUGAACGUUUCCGAAACAGUAAGACGACACUCCGGUUUCGGUGUUGGAUCAGAAAUUCGUCAGUGAACAGAAAAAUCGUUGGGGACUGUGAUUUUGCAAAAGUAGUGAUUGGAAGUGAUUUUUCUCUGUUGAUUGCGAAAUUUUCCGCUUGACCAAACUGAAUCCGAAUAGCGAAAAGCGAACGCAGAAAACACGGCGGAAAACGGCAGUAGUUUUCGGGCAGCAGUCAGUCGGUCGAUCGGUCGGUAGUAGUAUUAGCUGGCUGGUAGUAGUGACUGUGGAUGUAGAAGGGAAGCGAAAAAUAUUUCAAAACUUGUUCUUGCGGCCAGCACCAGUCAAGUCAGCAGUUGUGUUGUUGUUGUUGUCGUUGCUGCUAUUGUUGUUGUUUUUGUUGUUCUCGUAGUUGUUGUUAUUGUAGAGAAGUAGCUGGUAGAGCUCGCGCGCGUCACGAAGACCCUCGGAAGAGAAGGCAAAAGGAAAACGAGUAUCUCGGACGACGACGACGACGACGUAACAGCUAACCAAGCCAGACCAACCAGACUUCACGACACAGCGCAGACCUGUAUCGUGGUGGAAGUGGCCUCUCUGCUGUGAGAAGGUAUGAGAUUAUGUGGCAGAAACAGCAGCAGGAAAGACCACGAAAACGACGACAUAUGCAGCAAUCGCCCGUCGCAACUGCCGGAAUAAGCUCUGAAGGAUUGUGCAAUGUGGAUGAAGAGCUAAUGAUUAAAUGCAACUUGUUCCGUAGGAAAGGCCUCAAGAAUGUACCGCUGCUGUAGUGGAAUGCGGUGAAGAGGAAGAAACAUCAAAAGGAAGAGAUAAACACAACAAGAGAGGUACAAACAGAAGGGAAAAAAAGGUGUUCUUAAUUACCUGUUAAAACGGUUAUAAAUUAUCAAAUGAUGUUGGAAAAAGUGAUAAGCGGAUGCUUUAUUUAUUCAAGUACUAAACAUGUUAUGAAAAAUGGAUAAAUUUUAAUCAAGCGACCAUCUGGUGCCAGAUAGAAGAAUUUCCGAAGCAAGUAAAUCUACCAAAGUCAAUCUUGCGAAGAUAAGAUUCAAGUGUGCAAUUUCCAGGGAUAAGAAAAGAACAGGCAAAUCAAGAAGAUCCGUAAAGUAAGGGAAACCAAUUCUACAACGUCACCCAUUAUCAAGCAAGUGAAUUGUGGUUUCCCGAUAAGCCUUUGGUCAGCUGAAAGAAGAAAGUACACCCAAAUCUGAAAUUGUUACUUUAACACACACAAAGAGUUGAGCAGAACAAAGCUUGUUGGUAGUGAGUACAGAGGGAGAAAGAUAAUAAUUGUUGUCAUUAAGGUUAUUUUCCUAGGCAUAAGAAAUUUACACAACCUUCAGCAUCGCACAAGCAAAAGUGGUGAAUGAUUAUUCAUGGUGAUGAUGCAUUAGUGGUGCUGUAUGCAAAAGAAGAAAAAAAUUAGCCCCCGACACAGAAAAAUAGCCAUCGGAAAAGUGUGCUAAGUGAUUUUUUUUUUUCGGAGCAAAGAGAAAACCGAUCAAAGCAGGCCAGCCGACAAACGGCGAAGAAAGAGCAAAGAGUCAGCGGAGGCAGAGUGGGAAUAAUUUGAUUUCGAUGAAUGGGUGAAAAGAGAGGAAAAUUUUGAGUGAAUAUCGACCCGAAAGCAGAAGAAAUGCGAAGCAAAGUGAAUCAAGCAAGCAAGAAAUAGGGAAAUCUGUGCUUUGAGUAAAGAGGAAGCAAAUCGAAACUAGAAGAAGAGUCCUUGCUGGCGAAGGAGGAGAAGUGAGAAUACUGCUUCAACAACAACAACAAAUAAAUAAAUAAAUAAAGGAAGGAAGGAAGCCAAAAGAUUCCAUUGCCAAGGGCCGGUUGUGUGUUUGUUGAUUAUUAGUUUUUCGGCUGUGUUUAGUGAUUCUAGUGGUGGUAAUUGCGUGUGCCUAUAUGUGUCUCUCAGUGUGGGUUUGCGUGCCGUCAUUCUGUGUCCUGUGAAUGCACACGGCCAGUGCUCGUGAUUUUCGGUGCUCGAUAUUAUUCCAUAGUGCUGUGUGCUUACGGUUCUAAAUAAUAACAAAGCGACGGUGAAGCAGACGACAAAGUUUUGAUAGAAUACAGAUACCGUGGGCAUCGUCAUCGAUCUGGAUGAUAUUUUUUCGGCUGAAAAGUGUUUGAACAGUGCCUCAAAAUUUGGGAUUACUCUUUGGAAUCGGUGGCUGGCGUAUCAGCGACCACGGAGCGAUUAACAGCUCCCCCGGCGCCUCCCCAGGGCCACUCGCCCCUCCAGCUCUUAGAUGAGCCUCAUAUGUCCAUUGCUGCGGCUGAAAAUGCAGGGUAUGAACAACGAACCAAUCUUCUCCAAUUGUAAAAGGUAACCCUUAGGCAAUCGCAUUACUAUUCCAACAUAGUAAAGAAAAUUCAUCUUCCAAGCGAGCACGUUUAGAGUGUGCUACUGUUACGACCCGUGGCCACCGCCUCUCCAAAUAGUGUAGUAAAUGCCCUUCGGUGUUUUUAAGAGUCAAUAAAAUUCCAUUUGAAUAUACGCGAACUGAGCGCGUAGGUACAUAUGUACUUUCCAGUGG
This is a long non-coding RNA of Ochlerotatus camptorhynchus, 2778 nucleotides long. RefSeq lists it as uncharacterized. The transcript is spliced from 3 exons. The record is from RefSeq and is a predicted model, not a curated record. NCBI's taxonomy places the organism in Eukaryota, Metazoa, Arthropoda, Insecta, Diptera, Culicidae.